GGAAGUAAAAGUCGUAAACAAGGUCUCCGUUGGUGAACCAGCGGAGGGAUCAUUACCGAGUUAUACAACUCAUCAACCCUGUGAACAUACCUAAAACGUUGCUUCGGCGGGAACAGACGGCCCUGUAACAACGGGCCGCCCCCGCCAGAGGACCCCUAACUCUGUUUUUAUAAUGUUUUUCUGAGUAAACAAGCAAAUAAAUUAAAACUUUCAACAACGGAUCUCUUGGCUCUGGCAUCGAUGAAGAACGCAGCGAAAUGCGAUAAGUAAUGUGAAUCGCAGAAUUCAGUGAAUCAUCGAAUCUUUGAACGCACAUUGCGCCCGCCAGUAUUCUGGCGGGCAUGCCUGUUCGAGCGUCAUUACAACCCUCAGGCCCCCGGGCCUGGCGUUGGGGAUCGGCGGAAGCCCCCUGUGGGCACACGCCGUCCCUCAAAUACAGUGGCGGUCCCGCCGCAGCUUCCAUUGCGUAGUAGCUAACACCUCGCAACUGGAGAGCGGCGCGGCCAUGCCGUAAAACACCCAACUUCUGAAUGUUGACCUCGAAUCAGGUAGGAAUACCCGCUGAACUUAAGCAUAUCAAUAAGCGGAGGAAAAGAAACCAACAGGGAUUGCCCUAGUAACG
This 622-nucleotide ribosomal RNA is filed under the name uncultured Ascomycota. Its description in RNAcentral is "partial 18S ribosomal RNA". The stretch from base 206 to 359 matches the Rfam family "5.8S ribosomal RNA". Lineage: Eukaryota; Fungi; Ascomycota. The record is from RNAcentral.